This is a long non-coding RNA of Notolabrus celidotus (New Zealand spotty), 1912 nucleotides long. RefSeq lists it as uncharacterized. The transcript has 3 exons. The record is from RefSeq and is a predicted model, not a curated record. NCBI's taxonomy places the organism in Eukaryota, Metazoa, Chordata, Actinopteri, Labriformes, Labridae.
UGUCAUACCUAAAGGUGAGCUUCUCAUGGUGCGGCCUGUUUGCCUGUAAACGUUGAUUGGCCUGACAUGUUAGCCAACAAGUGCUGAAACUCAGAUUAUGUCGAGACAGAGCAACAUGAACAUGAAUUUCGAGUCAUGUAUCCUACGACCAGCUGGAUUGUGAAAGGUGUUAGGUCCGGUGGGGCGUUGAAGGGCCAGAAGAAGCCUCUGAGGGCCAUUCAACAGAAACCAUGCAGAGGGCAGCGAUACACAUCUGCUACAAGGCCACAUGCAGGGUAAUUUCUAAGCCUAUUCUCGCUCCAUGUGGAGAUGGAGUGUGUCUGUGGCCAGGCCGGGUGUUGAGAGGCACCAGUGAGCGAGGAGGAAAUGGGGUCUGGCAUGUUGACUCAGGAGUAAAUCUCCCCGGACCUCUCAGAAGGCUGCCAUUAGAGUUUAAUCACCCUGUAAUCCUGGACACACUCUGCAGCUGAGAGGGAGGACUGAUGAGCAUGCAGCGUGCAAACUGUGAGCAUCUACUCAUCCAGAAGCUGCAAUCAACGCUGUGGAUGGAUGAGUGCAAUCCAACGAUGAGGACACACAAAAAGUCUGAAGAAAGUAAUCAUACCCGCUUCUUUACACGUUCCAUGCUUCCUAUUUUAUUAAAAACUUUCUCUGCUUUGUGAAGCCCUUAUUAUACUUGUUAAUGAUACUUGAGUGUGUUGUUCUUCUCCCUUGUUCUACCUUAUUACCCCUAAUUUUCUCAAGGCCUUCAAAAAGUGUUUCCAAUGCCUCAACAAGCCUGGCUCUUACUUUUCAUUAUUCACAGCUUAUUUUUAGACAAAGGCGUCAUUCUGUUGUCUGUGAGAGCAAAAAGGCAGAGCAGCAGUGAAUUGUUUCAGGGACAUUUGCAUAAUACUGAGUGACUGAGUCCCUAUUUUAAGCUGAAUUCUUUCCAGACAUCGCUGUUGAAGCUACCAGAGGGAAGAAAGAAGAGCAAGUGUAGAGAGAAAGGGACUAUCAAAGGAGAGGAACUAAGCUUUCAUGUUAGGACACUUUGAUUGUGUUACAGAUUGGUUCCAGGUGAGGCAACUUUAAAAAGAAAAGGAAAUCCAAGGGAAGAGAGAAAAUCGUAACUAAGGAUGGCAUUGGCAGGAUUGAGGCAUUAUGGGGAGAUUUAGAACAGCAGGUGGAGAGAAUCAAUGAGGCUCAAAUAUUCUGUUUUGUGGUGGGUGGUAACUGGGGGGUUGUUGGGGCUUUAACAGCUUGGGAGAGUGUCUUUAUUCAAUCAUGGACAAAGUUUUCUGAGGUAAAAUAAACAAUGAAGGGAGGCAGGUACGUUUGCUCAGCACUACUUUAAGGCACUGUGAGGAGUUUGAACUAACUUUGAAAUAGUGUCACUCUCAUAUUGAUGCCUCAUCAUUACCUACAUAGUAAAAUCAGAUUAUCAGUGACAAGAUAUUUGUUUUUAUUUACUCAAUUUUAAUGCCAGGCUGGAUUUUUUGCUAAAAAGGUCGAGUCAAUGUUCAGUACUCACCUGGAAGUGUCUAGAACUCAACUGGUAAAGUUUGGCCGUGAGAAGUAAGCUAGCAAGCAGGAGGAGUUUUCUUUAAGUUUUAAAGAAGAUAUAUAUAUAUAUAUAAAUAUAUAUAUAUAUAUAUAUUUCCAUAUCUUUUUAUUAGAUUUUUGCAGACAGUACAAAAAGAUGUCACACAAGAGUAAGAUAAGUCAGAGUAUCUGCAUAGAAUAGAACAAAAAUCCCCAAUUAAACAGAAAAACAAGACAAUAGAAAAUAAAUUCCCGUUACCCUGCUAACCCUCACCCUCCCAGCUUCCUAAGGUAGUUGUUAAGAAGAAAUUUGAAAAGAAUUGUAUUCCUUUAGAGUUCUUUUAGGGGAAUUUUAUGUCUUUUAAAAUAUGUUUCAUUGCUUUGUCUU